AUUGAACGCUGGCGGAAUGCUUUACACAUGCAAGUCGAACGGCAGCACGGACUUCGGUCUGGUGGCGAGUGGCGAACGGGUGAGUAAUGUAUAGGAACGUGCCCAGUCGUGGGGGAUAACGUAGGGAAAAUUACGCUAAUACCGCAUACGAUCUAGGGAUGAAAGCGGGGGAUGGCAAGACCUCGCGCGAUUUGAGCGGCCGAUAUCAGAUUAGGUAGUUGGUGGGGUAAAGGCCCACCAAGCCAACGAUCUGUAGCUGGUCUGAGAGGACGACCAGCCACACUGGAACUGAGACACGGUCCAGACUCCUACGGGAGGCAGCAGUGGGGAAUUUUGGACAAUGGGCGAAAGCCUGAUCCAGCCAUUCCGCGUGCAGGAUGAAGGCCCUCGGGUUGUAAACUGCUUUUGUACAGAACGAAAAGGUUUCUACUAAUACUAGGAGCUCAUGACGGUACUGUAAGAAUAAGCACCGGCUAACUACGUGCCAGCAGCCGCGGUAA
RNAcentral lists this ribosomal RNA (500 nucleotides) under uncultured bacterium. Its description in RNAcentral is "partial 16S ribosomal RNA". It matches the Rfam family "Bacterial small subunit ribosomal RNA", at positions 30 to 523 of the family's 1533-position model. The record is from RNAcentral.